UGGUAAGGAGACAUGAUUAAAAGAGGGUUUUGACAUGAGAUUAAAGAUUAAAUGGGUCCAACGCCCUAAUUAGCAAUGAAUGAUCGUCUUUCAUUUCUAAUGGCUCAAUGAAAAUAUUUUAAUUGGAUUGAAAAACACGUAAUUAAAUUGACACAACCUCCCCGAGUUCUUAUUCAACAAUGUUGGCUCGUUGUUGCAAUAACCUAAUAAGUCCAUGGUCAUCCAAGAGCCUAAGAUAACUAUAAAGUCCAAAUUCAAAGGAAUGCAAAAACUGUAGUAGUAGUAGUUACUUCCAAUAUUUGAAAAAUUCGUUUUUGAUAUUGAUUUGUUUUUCUUAAAAAAAAUAGUGGGAGUAUUGUGACAGCCCGUCCCUAAUUUUAAGAAUUUUUAAAGUUUUAAUAAAGGAUUUUACAAAAAUGCCCUUUUUGGGCACGCGCAUUAUUUGAGGUUAAUCGUUGUGUCGUGCCAUCUAAGAUUUUGUUUUCUUGACAUAUGCUUGCAGUAUUCAUCACUACGGACGUGUGGGCGUAGUCGGUUCGUGAUUUGGAGUUUUAUCGAAAAAGUUAUUAACGUUUGAAAUUUGGGAUUUUAAGGAAUUAUAAUUUUAGUAAAAUCUAGAAUUUCUUUUAUGAAAAUGGACGGCCCAGAUUUAAUGAAGAAUGAAAUGGAUGGUUGGGAUGAGAGAAAGGUUUUGUGUGUGUAUGUAUGUGAAGAAAAAGAGGAAGCUGUCGGGGAGGAAGGAAAAACAGAGACAGAAACGG
RNAcentral lists this long non-coding RNA (761 nucleotides) under Malus domestica (apple). RNAcentral's name for it is "long non-coding RNA (MDOM_LNC020570)". Lineage: Eukaryota; Viridiplantae; Streptophyta; Magnoliopsida; Rosales; Rosaceae. The record is from RNAcentral.